Molecule: ribosomal RNA, 459 nt
Filed under: uncultured bacterium
Lineage: Bacteria
Description: partial 16S ribosomal RNA
Rfam family: Bacterial small subunit ribosomal RNA
Source: RNAcentral
CCUACGGGUGACAGCAGUGAGGAAUAUUGGUCAAUGGCCGGAAGGCUGAACCAGCCAAGCCGCGUGAAGGACGAAGGUGCCAAGCAUUGUAAACUUCUUUUGUCAAGGGACAAAAUCAGGCUCGAGAGCCUGACCGCGGGUACUUGAAGAAAAAGCAUCGGCUAACUCCGUGCCAGCAGCCGCGGUAAUACGGAGGAUGCGAGCGUUAUCCGGAUUUAUUGGGUUUAAAGGGUGCGUAGGCGGAGUGUUAAGUCAGCGGUAAAAUCCCGGGGCUCAACCCCGGCGAGCCGUUGAAACUGGAUGGCUUGAGAGGUCGAGAGGUAGGCGGAAUGCGGAGUGUAGCGGUGAAAUGCUUAGAUAUUGCGCAGAACUCCGAUUGCGAAGGCAGCAUACCGGCGGAGAUCUGACGCUGAGGCACGAAAGCGUGGGUAUCGAACAGGAUUAGAUACCCUAGUAGUC